Equus caballus (horse) is the source of this 2236-nucleotide non-coding RNA. NCBI's taxonomy places the organism in Eukaryota, Metazoa, Chordata, Mammalia, Perissodactyla, Equidae. The record is from RefSeq and is a predicted model, not a curated record.
AUUUAAGUGAUGUACAUUUUAGAGGCAUAACUCUGUCUUAACUCUUAAACGCCAUCAGCAAGCCUCCAGCCACCAUUUUUGUGCAUUCGGAUGAGCAAUCAGGAGCGCUCCAGAAAACUCUUAACGAGCAGGUUACAGCCGUCCUCGGUGGGGUCUGGGAAGCCGCCUGGAUUUAGGGCCGAUGGCGACUGCGUCAGUCGGGCUCCACCCAGGUGGAGACGCUCCGAGGCUGGCUUUCUUUUUUAAAGAGCAGACUAUAGAACUAGCUUUGCCCGGAAGAGUAACGUGCGCUGUCCCUUCGCGAAGCCACGCUCGUACAGGGGAGAGUCGGGGAGUAGGCGCCCAGCGGCGGGCCCCGCCCAGGACGCCGCCUUCCGGGCUACUCUCUGCGCACGCGCCUCCUGGAAGCGCCGGGCCGCGGGCGGGGCGCGGUGAUGACGUCACUGCGCGCGCCGCGUGCUGGGCCGGCGGGAUGGCGGCCGCCCGGGAGGCCCCGGUAGAGGAUCUGCUGCAGAACUUCGUGCGGGUGCUGGAGAAGCGAGAUGGCACGGAGUUGCGCCUCCAGCAGUACGGCUCCGGCGGCGUGGGCUGCGUGGUGUGGGACGCCGCCAUCGUCCUCUGUAAAUACCUGGAGACGCCCGGGUUCUCCGGCGAGGGCGCCCACGCGCUGAGCCGGCGGUCGGUGCUGGAGCUGGGCUCGGGCACGGGGGCCGUGGGGCUCAUGGCCGCCACACUCGGGGCGGACGUCGUAGUCACCGAUCUGGAGGAGUUGCAAGACUUGCUGAAGAGGAACAUUAACAUGAACAAGCAUCUCGUCACCGGUUCUGUUCAAGCCAAGGGGGGAAGAAACAGAAGACUUUCCUUCUCCUCCGGACUACAUACUGAUGGCCGACUGCAUAUACUACGAGGAGUCUUUGGAGCCAUUGUUGAAAACUCUAAAAGAUCUCAGUGGAUCUGAGACUUGUAUUAUAUGUUGUUAUGAACAAAGAACGAUGGGAAAAAAUCCGGAAAUCGAGAGAAAAUAUUUUGAGCUCCUUCAACUGGACUUUGACUUUGAAAAAAUUCCUUUGGAAAAACAUGAUGAGGAAUAUCGAAGCGAAGAUAUUCAUAUUUUAUACAUCAGAAAGAAAAAAUCGAAAUUUCCAUCGUGAAAACUUUAAUCAUCUCACCCAAGCCUCUAACAACCUGGGUAAGCUAAAGAUGUGAAUGGAGCAUGUGAAAACAGCAUGGGAAGAUUGCGUUCACAGAUUUUUUCCAGCAUGUCCUUCAAGACCCGCUAUAUAGACGACGACCACCACGGGCUGGCUGUGAUAGGAAGAUGCCUGCGGGCCUGAAAUCCGGCUUCAUUUACUUUUAGCUCGGCAUCAAGUUCUGUCUGAAAGCAGCACUGUAUGUCAGUCCCUCCUCAAAUAAAAUCGGUGUUGAGGUGAGCCUGAAGUCUGCCAGAGGCCAGCGGAGAAGCGGGGUUGACCUGCCGCUUCCUCAGCAAACUAGAGAUAAAUUGAUCGAUCUCUAAAGGGUUGUCUAUUACUGCGUAACAAUGUUUAAACUCAAACCAGUACAUUUUAGUUUGUCUUCAAGAUAGAUACAUUUAAAAGGGGGUUUUCAUUGUAACGUAAUUAUGCGGUGGUUUUGUCAUAUGUAUCUUCCACUUCAUUGCUUUUAAGAUAGCUUUAAUAUUUAAGGGUUCUUUUACUUAAGAAAUACUGAAAAUAUUGUUUUGUGUACUUACGUUGGCCACAGUUUUCUUUUCCUCCACCAUGCAUGUCUCUGUGAGUUAGAGAGUCAUUGAUACUGGGUGCGUUGGGAAGACUGAAAGUGAAAUCAGGAGAUCGGGAGGGGGCCGAGGUAGGUUUACAAGAUUUUUAUUUGAGAAAGGAGUGAGAACAAAAGCCCCGUUUCAGGCUCGUGCACUUGUGUGGCUCAUGCACUUUCCCUCGUGUAUAUCUUCCAGGAAAGUGGGGCUGAAAUCUCUGGUGUUAACUGGUUUACGUGAAACAGAGAAAGGUUUUUAAAUAACUGAAAUGUGGUUCUGUACACAUUCACCAAAUGAUUUGGAUUCUGUGUAGUCUGUUUUAGGUGUGAUAAUCUGCGCACAGGCUGGUCUGUCAGGGACUUGAGUCUCGCUGGUUCUGAAGAGGAGUGGAACCUGGCCGGAAUUCUUGUGCUCACAGGCGCGGGUGCAUGGUGGUGGCACGUUUUAUGUGUUAAAAUAAACAUCGUUUUUGAGAUCCUG